AUGAGGUGUUGGGUUUAUUAUACCCUUAUUAUUGUGUGGAUAGUUGUUGGAACUUUGGU
RNAcentral lists this transfer RNA (59 nucleotides) under Dracunculus medinensis (Guinea worm). RNAcentral's name for it is "tRNA-Thr". The record is from RNAcentral. Lineage: Eukaryota; Metazoa; Nematoda; Chromadorea; Rhabditida; Dracunculidae.